AGCAAGUGAUUAAUUGUGGUCAAAAGGCAAGUCCAAAGGUUAGUGGCGUAUCGACUUAACGUAUCAUAUGCUUGAAAGGUCCAAACUUCUAAUCUGAAAUCCUGAUGUACGCAAAUAAUUCCUGCUAAAAUCCAUCCUGUCAUUAUUAUGUGCAUGAAGGUGUGGGAAAAAAAUGCUAAACAUGUUUUCUUCCAACUAAAAGCAUGCCAAACUGCGCAAUUGUUUGGCAUGAUGAUCUUACAGAGAAUUUACACUUUCGAACCUGCAAAAAUCCUCUUUCUUCGAUUUAUCUAGGAAUGAUCUUGGAUUACAGGAAAACUGAAGCUAUUGAAAGCAAGAAGAGUGAUGUUAUAGGUGGUAUGUAGCAAUCCAGCUAUUAGAAUAGGCUAUAUUCGACGGGAAGUAGAAAGAGUAAAAUAUGUUGGUUUCUAUGAAUGGUUUAUGAAGAAGUAAUUGUUCAUUUUACCAUUAAUUGUGAAAGACCAAAGUAUUAACUUACAUUGUGCUGGUGUAUCAUGUCAAAGCAUUUCAUGCAUCUUAUGUAUAUGACUUUUCAUUAUUUAUUUUCACUGGAAAUUCAAAUAAAAAGUAUAUUGUUAGUACUAUGCUUUGUUGUCGAAUGGCAUAACUUCCCCUUUGGAUCGUCAACAUAGUAGUUCUGAGCCUCAAUUUGGUUGUUCCUCCGACUGAGACUGUAGUUUUACUACAAGGAAGUGUGUUUGCUCUUUCGCAUUUGAUUAUUUUGUUAAGAUGGUAACUAACUUUCUAUGUGUGGCCACACCAGGAGUGACAGGAUUAGGAAUGAGGAUAUUCGGGAUAAGGUAGGGGUGGCCUCGGUGGAAGACAAGAUGCGAGAAGCGAGAUUGAGAUGGUUUGGACAUGUGAAGAGGAGAGACACAGAUGCCCCAGUGCGGAGGUGUGAGAGGUUGGCCAUGGAUGGUUUCAGACGAGCUUCAGAGCUUGGUUCACUGCAAAAAAAAAAAAAAAAAAAAAAAAAAAAAAAAGCUUCAGAGCUCAAAGUUUGCUCUUCCAAGCUCGGCGGCGGUGACUGCUCUUCCAAGCUCGGCAGCGACUUCUCUUCCAAGUUCCGACGGCGACAGAAUUGGCUUAGGAAAGAGACUAAAUCUAUUAGUGUGGAAGAAAGUUUGGAUCAUCUUGAGGAACUUGAACUUGGUAAGAUUUUGUAUUUUUUUUAUGUGUUUUAGUGAAAAAAUUACAUACUUUUUUAUGUUGUAUGACAUAUUUGAUUAAAUUAUCUUUAGACAUGGCAAAUAGUGGAAGAGAUCCUUGCAUUGUUGAUGUAUGAUUGCAAUUUGCUUCUUUGUUACUAGUGUUCAACCAUGCCUUCUAGAGCUCGCUCACAAGUUUGGGAACAUUUUGUGCGGUGCGAUACUUAAUUGUAAUAGAGCAAAAGACACAUCUAGCUUAAUGAAGCAUAUUAAGAAAUGUCUUGACUCUUGAAGAUAUGCGGAUUCACCUUCAACUUUAAGCUUAUGUUUUGAAUUUGGUAAAUUUCGGACUUAAUUAUGAUUGUUAUGUGAGACGACGGAUUUAACACUUGGUGUUACAACUUAUGUUUUGUAUUUGGAGCUAAAAUUUAGGACAUUUAUGUUGUUUGGCCGUUUGGCUGCUACUCAUUUUAUCGUUAUGUUGUUUGUGUUGCUUGUUUUUGUCU
This is a long non-coding RNA of Lycium barbarum (goji berry), 1675 nucleotides long. RefSeq lists it as uncharacterized. The record is from RefSeq and is a predicted model, not a curated record. The transcript is spliced from 4 exons. Lineage: Eukaryota; Viridiplantae; Streptophyta; Magnoliopsida; Solanales; Solanaceae.